RNAcentral lists this ribosomal RNA (390 nucleotides) under uncultured bacterium. RNAcentral's name for it is "bacterial SSU rRNA". It matches the Rfam family "Bacterial small subunit ribosomal RNA", at positions 28 to 420 of the family's 1533-position model. The record is from RNAcentral.
GACGAACGCUGGCGGCGUGCUUAACACAUGCAAGUCGAGCGGUAAGGCCCUUUCGGGGGUACACGAGCGGCGAACGGGUGAGUAACACGUGGGUGACCUGCCCUCAGCUCUGGGAUAAGCCUGGGAAACCGGGUCUAAUACCGGAUAUGACUCCAUGACGCAUGUUGUGGGGUGGAAAGCCUUGUGCGGCUGAGGAUGGGCCCGCGGCCUAUCAGCUUGUUGGUGGGGUGAGGCCUACCAAGGCGACGACGGGUAGCCGGCCUGAGAGGGCGACCGGCCACACUGGGACUGAGACACGGCCCAGACUCCUACGGGAGGCAGCAGUGGGGAAUCUUGCGCAAUGGGCGAAAGCCUGACGCAGCGACGCCGCGUGAGGGAUGACGGCCUCGG